AUGGCUCUGCGGUGUGCGUGGUCUUAGCUGUUUUGACCUCAAGCGCAUGCCGAGGAAACCUGGCCGCGGCCGCUGGAGCGACGCCCCUACGGGGGAACGCAGAAGGCGGCCGGAGGGUAUCCACCUGUCCAGGCAGGUUCAAAACCUCGGGAUCACGGCACGGUGGAGCAUCG
This 173-nucleotide non-coding RNA is filed under the name Bacillota bacterium. Its description in RNAcentral is "6S RNA". It matches the Rfam family "6S / SsrS RNA". Rfam says of the family: E. coli 6S RNA was the first non coding RNA to be sequenced, but its function was unknown until recently. It consists of 184 nucleotides that fold into an extended hairpin structure with a large single-stranded internal bulge. Lineage: Bacteria; Bacillati; Bacillota. The record is from RNAcentral.